Long non-coding RNA from Leptinotarsa decemlineata (Colorado potato beetle), 1405 nucleotides. The record is from RefSeq and is a predicted model, not a curated record. Lineage: Eukaryota; Metazoa; Arthropoda; Insecta; Coleoptera; Chrysomelidae.
AGAAAGCGGGGAACCACAGAGAAGGUAAAUUAAUACUUGAAACAUUUCAGGAUAGCUGACUUGUUGCCAGAUCAUAAUAUCAUGCAUAUAUUUAUUUAUAUAACGGAAAUUGAAGAAAUGAAUAGUGAACUAAAACGAAAUAUGUAGGUAAAUAUUUGUUUUGAUAUAAUCUGAAAUAUAAAUCCAAAAUAUUUACCAAUAUGGGUUCAGGCAAACUAGAUCAAUGAAAUCACGAGUAGAAUUCAUUGAGUUGAAUAAAUCUCAAACAAAUAUUGAACCAGUGAGGAUGACAGUGUUCCAUCUAUGGUGGCUGAACCUAUAGGCACCUGUAGGCGAAGAGAUUCCUGUAGGUUGAACGAGCCAUCAUAGUGACCUGUUGAAAGUUUCAUGCCAUACCGUUUGAUGCGUUAGGUGUAGUAGAAAUUCGAGGAUUUUUAAAUAAAAUCCAUAAAUCGGUAAAUCCCCGAUUUAAUAAUAAGUGCGGUAGUGAAAAGAAUAUUGGAACAGUGGUCAGCUUUUCAUCAAAAUUGUUGGACGAACGUCUACUGGCAAUUGAGCAGCUGGAUUCCCAUAGCUCUCAUCCGACGUCUCUAUUGUAAUCGAGUUUUUGGAAGAAAAGCAACGAUUCACAUAAACACGAAUACUUAUCAGGUAAAAAUUUUGUAAAGAAUGUGUAGCUACUAUACAUAUUCUACAGAUGACGUCACUGUUGUUUACACGAUGAGCAAAAGACUUGAGCCAAAGUCGAAAUUGGAUAGAAUAUCAAUCCAACAUAUAUUUGCUCAUAACAUUCGUUCGUAACCCAAGUUUCUAUAUUUUGUUAUUAACUAAUUCUUUCUGCCACGCUGUAUUAUGAACUUUGUGUUUUUGUUGAAAGAGAUAUUUUUAUAGAAGAAUGAUCUAUUCUGUGAUUCAAUACAAUUUUAAUGAAGGUUGUUAGUUAAUGAAUUCAUCACUUCGAUUUCUUGUUUCUUUUUUAUAGGAGUAAAAAAAAUUAUUACAACAUAGUAAAAACUAGUAUGAUUCUGAUGUUUUUUUUAGGUUAGGUGUUAUAUAUUAAUUCUACUUUAACAACUUCCACGUGGACAUCCGGUCUACCCGGCCUCCAACCGGUGUGAAUGAGGGCACUACUAUUAUAACACACUUAAACACUUAUUAUUGAAACUAUUAACAAUUUAAUUUUGAUGCUGGCACAUUAUAUAACGGCGGAUAUUCAUAACACGAAGUGAAUUCCGUUUCCAACAAGGGCAUCCGCGUACUUUCUUUGUGGACGGUCGCUAUCGGCACGACCAUCCACCACCAUAUCGAAAACGGAACUGUGAUUUUGUAGGAUGAUAUCACAGCAUAUCUAGAUAUGAUGAUAAAUAGAGUUGAUCAGAUUUAUGGUUCGUGGUCACAGAACAUA